RNAcentral lists this long non-coding RNA (988 nucleotides) under Pongo abelii (Sumatran orangutan). RNAcentral's name for it is "lincRNA". The record is from RNAcentral. Lineage: Eukaryota; Metazoa; Chordata; Mammalia; Primates; Hominidae.
CAUGCAGCCACCUUGUCCUGCACAGGUCUGUGGCAGGCCGUGAGAUGGUGACCAGAGAAGCAGUCAGCACUCAUAGCCCCUGCCCUUUCAGAGUUUACGCUUGCUUGGAAGCCUCCAGAAUGGGGAUAAGCACAAGACAUUUAUGCUGGGCUUCAUCCAGGAAGCACUGGUGGAAGGAAGAGAAAGCAGCCCACAUAGCAAGGUUCAGGAGAAGAUUCCCAUGAAGGACAAGUGGGGUUCAACCCCAUCCAGCAGAUGACACGGAGCCGGCCUCGGAGGUGGGAGGUGUCCUCGCCGUGGGACACUGGGAUCUGAGCUACCUCAGGGCAUAGCCGGCCAAUGUUCCCAGCCUCCCCUGGGCACAGCCAGCCCAGGCCAAGUGGUCUAGCCUCGGCCCCCACUCAGCAUGGCCCAAAAAAGGAGCAAAAAGCAGAAAGCUCAAGGACCCUCAGAAUCAAGUUCUGCAGAAAGACACAAAGCUCAAGACCAGAGGUGCAACUGAGGGAGCACACCCUGUAAGACUGCCUCCCGGACACACCACUGCAGCCAGUGAAUCGCACUGUUUAGACUUUGACUUCAGGGUCAGGGUGAGCUGAUGAGACUGGCCUCUUGAUGAGGUGAGAAGCCACCGAGGAGUGAGAGCGGCUGAGUUUGAGCCCUGCCUCUGCCGUCUGUAACUCUCUCAUCUUGAGCAGGUCCACCCCAGUGUGGGCCUCAGAUCUCCCAUCCUUGAGAUGAGAGAAUUCAAAUCCAGCUCCGGCUCUGCAGCCCACGCCCUUCCCCUGCACUGCAUGGCAUCCAAUAGGCUUGAAGAAGGAGUGAAUGACAUUCGAAGGUCACAUCAUCUAAGCCACACUCCUCCCCCAUCCCAUCCUUUGUUGUCCUUUACAUGAUUCCCAUUCAUCUUUCUUCUCUUGGGCCCAGGGGUGUGCUGGUGAAUGUUUAACAGCCACUCCAUGAAAAAAUAAAACGGUCUUGAUUGAUGGCA